Molecule: ribosomal RNA, 500 nt
Filed under: uncultured bacterium
Lineage: Bacteria
Description: partial 16S ribosomal RNA
Rfam family: Bacterial small subunit ribosomal RNA
Source: RNAcentral
AUUGAACGCUGGCGGAAUGCUUUACACAUGCAAGUCGAACGGCAGCACGGACUUCGGUCUGGUGGCGAGUGGCGAACGGGUGAGUAAUGUAUCGGAACGUGCCCAGUCGUGGGGGAUAACGUAGUGAAAAUUACGCUAAUACCGCAUACGAUCUAUGGAUGAAAGCGGGGGAUCGCAAGACCUCGCGCGAUUGGAGCGGCCGAUAUCAGAUUAGGGAGGUGGUGGGGUAAAGGCCCACCAAGCCAACGAACUGUAGCUGGUCUGCGAGGACGACCAGCCACACUGGAACUGAGACACGGUCCAGACUCCUACGGGAGGCAGCAGUGGGGAAUUUUGGACAAUGGGCGAAAGCCUGAUCCAGCCAUUCCGCGUGCAGGAUGAAGGCCCUCGGGUUGUAAACUGCUUUUGUACAGAACGAAAAGGUUUCUACUAAUACUAGGAGCUCAUGACGGUACUGUAAGAAUAAGCACCGGCUAACUACGUGCCAGCCGCCGCGGUAA